CCUACGGGAGGCAGCAGUGGGGAAUAUUGGGCAAUGGGCGCAAGCCUGACCCAGCAAUGCCGCGUGAAGGAAGAAGGCUUUCGGGUUGUAAACUUCUUUGACAGGGGAAGUGCAGAAGACGGUACCCUGAAAACAAGCUACGGCUAACUACGUGCCAACAGCCGCGGUAAUACGGAGGUGGCAAGCGUUGUCCGGAUUUACUGGGUGUAAAGGGCGUGUAGCCGGGAAGGUAAGUCAGAUGUGAAAUCUGGAGGCUCAACCUCCAAAUUGCAUUUGAAACUGUUUUUCUUGAGUACUGGAGAGGCAGACGGAAUUCCUUGUGUAGCGGUGAAAUGCGUAGAUAUAAGGAGGAACACCAGUGGCGAAGGCGGUCUGCUGGACAGCAACUGACGGUGAGGCGCGAAAGCGUGGGGAGCAAACAGGAUUAGAUACCCCUGUAGUC
RNAcentral lists this ribosomal RNA (442 nucleotides) under uncultured bacterium. RNAcentral's name for it is "partial 16S ribosomal RNA". It matches the Rfam family "Bacterial small subunit ribosomal RNA", at positions 338 to 795 of the family's 1533-position model. The record is from RNAcentral.